UCGAAAGGCAGGAGUGCCCGCAAGGGAGCGCGGAGACAGGUGAUGCAUGGCUGUCGUCAGCUCGUGUCGUGAGAUGUUGGGUUAAGUCCCGCAACGAGCGCAACCCUCACCCCUUGUUGCCACCAGGUGAUGCUGAGCACUCUAGGAGAACUGCCCCGGUCAACGGGGAGGAAGGCGGAAACGACGUCAAGUCAUCAUGCCCCUUACGUCCUGGGCUACACACGUGCUACAAUGGCCGGUACAGAGGGAUGCUAGACCGCGAGGUAGAGCUAAACCCAAAAAGCCAGUCUAAGUUCAGAUUAAAGUCUGCAACUCGACUCCAUGAAGGAGGAAUCGCUAGUAAUCGCGUAUCAGCACGACGCGGUGAAUACGUUCCCAGGCCUUGUACACACCGCCCGUCACACCACGAAAGCCAGCUGUACUCGAAGUCGCUGAG
RNAcentral lists this ribosomal RNA (436 nucleotides) under uncultured bacterium. RNAcentral describes it as "bacterial SSU rRNA". It matches the Rfam family "Bacterial small subunit ribosomal RNA", at positions 1001 to 1434 of the family's 1533-position model. The record is from RNAcentral.